UUAUAACAAAAAAAAUCAAAAGGUAAUGAUUAAAUCUGUAGCCUGCUUGAACUAGCUUAAACUUUAACUGAUUCCUACUCCCAAAACUGAGAUACCAAAAUAUUUAGAUUUUGCAUUUCAAAGAAUUGGACAGAAAACAGAAACAAUCUAGGAGUUAAUGCACCACAAAAAGUUUUAUUCCUUGUCAAUGCGAAAACUAAAUUCAUCACAUAUAG
This 215-nucleotide unclassified non-coding RNA is filed under the name Hevea brasiliensis (rubber tree). Lineage: Eukaryota; Viridiplantae; Streptophyta; Magnoliopsida; Malpighiales; Euphorbiaceae. The record is from RNAcentral.